Molecule: ribosomal RNA, 118 nt
Organism: Pteropus vampyrus (large flying fox)
Lineage: Eukaryota; Metazoa; Chordata; Mammalia; Chiroptera; Pteropodidae
Source: Ensembl
GUCUACAGCCAUGCCACUUGAACGAUCCAGUCCUCAUCUGAUCUCAGAAGCUAAGCAGGGUCGGGCCUAGUUAGUACUUGGAUGGGAGACCACCUACGAAUACCAGGUACUAUAGGUG